AGGUUUUCUGGGGAUUUUCCUGUGUUUAUAACUAGGUUUAAUGGUCUUAAAGAGCUUGAUUUAGGGGAUAACAAUUUUUCUGGUCCUGUUCCUGAGACAUUAGCUGCAUUAAAGCUGGAAAAAUUGAAUCUCUCACAUAAUAAUUUUAGUGGGGUGUUGCCAAAUUUUGGGGAAUCUAAGUUUGGUGUGGAUGUUUUUGAGGGAAAUAAUCCUACUCUUUGUGGACA
This 227-nucleotide unclassified non-coding RNA is filed under the name Hevea brasiliensis (rubber tree). The record is from RNAcentral. Lineage: Eukaryota; Viridiplantae; Streptophyta; Magnoliopsida; Malpighiales; Euphorbiaceae.